Molecule: long non-coding RNA, 357 nt
Organism: Salvia hispanica
Lineage: Eukaryota; Viridiplantae; Streptophyta; Magnoliopsida; Lamiales; Lamiaceae
Source: RefSeq, a predicted model, not a curated record
AUUACAGUUUUUAAUUAUAAUUUCAAACUAAUUUUCAAUGGCAAACAAUAUUUUGAAGUCGUUCAUGGUGAUUCUCUUCCUCUCCGUCGUCGUUUUAUCUCCCAUCUUGCCAACUACCGAUGCAGCUCGAUUUGCAGCUGAUGUGGUGGAGAGGGAGCCUAUAUGCCCACAGUGUUUAUGCUGCGAACCCCCACCACCGGGGUCGUGUUGCAAGUCAUGUUGUGCGUCUAUUUCCGACCUGCUUCGGUAGAUACUGCCAAUGGAUCUCCAUAAUGCCCUUUGUUAAAAUCUUACUUAAAAUAAAAUGUAAGCUCGAUAUCAAUAAACAUUUACGAAUAAAUAACUUAUUUUAUACUA